This 234-nucleotide ribosomal RNA is filed under the name uncultured bacterium. RNAcentral's name for it is "partial 16S ribosomal RNA". It matches the Rfam family "Bacterial small subunit ribosomal RNA", at positions 118 to 345 of the family's 1533-position model. The record is from RNAcentral.
UGGGUAAUCUGCCCUCGAUUCUGGGAUAGCCCGGGGAAAUCCGGAUUAAUACCGGAUAGCCUCUCGAGCUUUCGAGCUCGUGAGAAAAGGUAGCUUCGGCCUCCGAUCGAGGAUGAGCCCGCGGCGGAUUAGCUUGUUGGUGGGGUAAUGGCCUACCAAGGCGACGAUCCGUAGCUGGUCUGAGAGGACGAUCAGCCCACACUGGGACUGAGACACGGCCCAGCUCCGUAGGAG